RNAcentral lists this unclassified non-coding RNA (2844 nucleotides) under Bombyx mandarina (wild silkworm). Its description in RNAcentral is "uncharacterized LOC114241085, transcript variant X3". Lineage: Eukaryota; Metazoa; Arthropoda; Insecta; Lepidoptera; Bombycidae. The record is from RNAcentral.
CGAAAUAGUGCAUUCGGAAAUAGAAAAAAAAAAUGCUCAGCUCGCAGUCAGCGUCCGAAAGUGAGGCGUCAGAGUCGCGCGCUUCCUCAUGGAAACCAUGGACAGCUAUGGCAGACCUAGCUGAAGCAGUCGACGACCUCAUCUGCAGUUUCGACUACAUGGACACAGCUAUGGACAACCUGGUCAUGUUGGUGUUCAUUUGGAUGGUGCUGUCCAUAGCGAUCAUCGCGAUCGCCAAAUGGGCGUACGGGAGGUUCGCUAAAAAGACGACGGACGCUGAUAAACCAAAAAUCGAUGAGACGAAAAAAACAACGAACGAAAUAGUUUCCAGUGCUGAUAGUGUGCUCGCUACCAGUGCUAAAGUUAAGAGUGCCUCAUUCAAGCCGACUAAAGCGACGGGCUUCGUGCCCGCCACUCCACCGAACAAGAAGAGGUUGGGGCGCAUGUCCCCGGGACCAGAGCAGUUGACCGUCAAAAAGCAUCAGUCAGUGUCUGUGCCCACAUGCACGGGCGGAGAUCAGCCGAGCGUGCAAUGGGUGAACGAUGUACUGACGUGGCUCUACAACGAUCUAGUUAUCGUCAACGAACUCGUGCAGCAAUGGAUCUCGUCCAUGAACGAGUUCUCGAAGAAAUCCGUCGAGGAGCAAGGAAUCGGCGUGGAGAUAGUACGAGCGUUGGACAGCCACCCGCCCAAUAUAUCGAAUGUAUUCAGCGAGUGUGACUCCAAGGAUGACGUGACGAUAACCUGCGACUGUGAAGCCACUCCAGCGUUUCAAGUGAAAGCCUUCAGUCAGCGAGGGGAGAAGGUGGAAGUGUCACACUACAGAGUCAACGUGAAUAGGUUCCGCGCCCGCCUCAACGUGGUCUGCGUGACAGAUAAGCUCACAGGAGACCUCAAGUUUGACGGGUGGCCAGAAGUCAAAGUGGCACUGGCGCCGGUCGGUCCUUUGAGGCCGAACGCCACUGAAUCCAACCUACAGCAGUUGAUCAGUGACAUUGUCGUGAAUGCCUUAAGAAAUUCCCACCUGCAGUUUAAUCUGUCUCAAUACCCGACCUGUCCUAGGCUGAGACGGUACGUUGAGACAUCCUCACGCCUACCCCUGCACUAUGAUUCCAUGUUACAGCACGACCGUCACAUGUACACCUCGACUCCGAACUCAGCGGCCGGCAGCGGUCUACUCGGAGACAAGAGGUUGCUGGUCAAGAUCGUCGGUGCCAAGGACUUGGGAGGUAAAACUGGGUGCAUAGCACCGUACUGCGUGGUGGAGAUGGAUGAGCCUCCUCAGAAGAACCAAACCGGCUUCAAGAAGGAAACCACGAGUCCUCAGUGGGACGAACACUUUUUGUUCGACCUGUCUCCGCAGACCGCGGAAUUACUUUUCGAGGUCUACGACCGGACCGGGCCCCCGUCCCCGGGAGGCGGAUCCUCGCAGCACAGGUUCUUAGGUCUGGGCUUGGUCGGUAUUGACGAACUGUUGGCGGCGCCCUCCCAGAGACAACAGCUGGCUCUGCAGACCAGGCCGAUGGAACAACACGACGUCAGCGGCACCCUCACCGUCGAGUUCCUCUUCAUCGACGGCCCCGACAUCCCGGACUUCGGCUCCAGACCCGUCAAAAUCAAGGAGAGCCUCAGGACCGUGUCCCCCCACGGCCAACUCACCACCACUACCAAGACCACCUUCCAUCAGAACGGGAUACCAGCACAGGACAACUCUAAGCUGACGGAGUCCGCACUUCGGGAGCUGGAGCUCAGUCCGACGGGUGCCGCCAACAAGUCCACCCUCAUCAUACACUCGGUGCAGAGAGAACCAAAGAAGUCUAUAAUGGUCGAACUAACCGACUCCGGGAAAUUCAUUGAAGUCGAACGCGCAGACGCCAUAGACAAACAGGAAACGGAAGCGAAACAAUUAGAUAAAAUCGAAGAGGCGGUUACAGAUAAAAAAUCUGUGACCCCGAACCAAUCUCCCGGCAAAAGUGUAAGGAUCAAAGAGAACGGUAACAAAGUCAACGGAGAGAACAAUGAUUCGCAAGGAGGCUACGUGAAUAACCAGACGGAUAACAUGUCCCCCGAGCCGGCUCCUAGGAAGAGGAGGAGAGAUUUCUUCGGAACUAUCAAGAGAAGACUGGGUCGAUCUCGUACUCGCGGUCAGUCACUGGAGAUGACGGACUCCGAACUGGAGACCCAGAACAGGAUGCGUAGCGUCAGUGCCGAGAGGAACUCUCAUGAAAAAGCACUGGCAAUACCGAACCGCAACGUGUAUUCGGCGGGCGCCUCUCCCGCGCAGUCCGGAGACGAAUCCAGAACUUCAAGGAGAUCAUCCCUCAGCGAAGUGUCCGGAUUCAGUACAGCGUCAGCGAGGACCUUCAUUCACGAGGCCUCGACCCUGGUGCUGGAGACUAUAGAGGCCGGUAUAAAGAAGCAUUACCUUGUGCCUCUGGCGAUCGCUCAAAGGUCGAAGUGGCGACGGAAGGGCGUCAAACUGCACAUUUACAAUGAGCACACGUUCAUUGCCAAACAUCUGAGCGGCGGCACCGUGUGCGCCGUGUGCGACAAGCCAGUGGCGCGGCGGCUCGGCAAGCAGGGCUACGAGUGCCGCGACUGCCGGCUGCGCUGCCACAAGCACUGCCACGUGCGCGCGGCCGCCGCCUGCCCCGCCUCCACCGUGCACGACAUGGAGCUAUCCAUGCUCCCCGUGCUAACUGAAUAGUCGAACUAAGCGAGAAGACUGCAAGAUUAAAAUGAGCGAUUCCCACAGAGCAGGACUUACAUCUCGUCCCCUUACGCCGACAGGAACAUAAGAAUGUUGUGAUUUGGUAAUUAAGAGAAAGAAGAAAUGAAAUAAA